RNAcentral lists this ribosomal RNA (1382 nucleotides) under metagenome. RNAcentral's name for it is "bacterial LSU rRNA". It matches the Rfam family "Bacterial large subunit ribosomal RNA", at positions 1525 to 2925 of the family's 2925-position model. The record is from RNAcentral.
UAAUCUGUAUCUAAUAUGCAACAAAUAAUGCUGGGGUACGAUGCGGAGCGAAAUUUAGUAGCGAAGUAGCUGAUUUCACACUGUCGAGAAAAGUCUCUAUCGAGGUUAAAGGUGCCUGUACCGCAAACCGACACAGGUGGGUGAGGAGAGUAUCCUAAGGCCAGCGAGAGAACUGUUGUUAAGGAACUCGGCAAAAUGACCCCGUAACUUAGGGAGAAGGGGUGCCUUCGAAAGAAGGCCGCAGAGAAUAGGCCCAAGCGACUGUUUACCAAAAACAUAGGUUUCUGCUAAGUCGCAAGACGAUGUAUAGGAGCUGACGCCUGCCCGGUGCUGGAAGGUUAAGGGGAUCUGUUAGAGCAAUCGAAGCAGUGAACUUAAGCCCCAGUAAACGGCGGCCGUAACAAUAACGGUCCUAAGGUAGCGAAAUUCCUUGUCGGGUAAGUUCCGACCCGCACGAAAGGCGUAACGAUUUGGGCACUGUCUCAACAACAGACUCGGUGAAAUUGUAAUACCGGUGAAGAUGCCGGUUACCUGCGACAGGACGGAAAGACCCCAUGGAGCUUUACUGUAGCUUGACAUUGAGUCUCGGUGCUACAUGUACAGGAUAGGUGGGAGACUAUGAAGCAUGGACGUCAGUCUGUGUGGAGUCAUCCUUGGGAUACCACCCUUGUAGUACUGGGAUUCUAACCAGAGGCCAUGAGUCUGGUCUUGGGACACUGUCAGGUGGACAGUUUGACUGGGGCGGUCGCCUCCCAAAAAGUAACGGAGGCGCUCAAAGGUUCUCUCAGUACGGUCGGAAAUCGUACGAAGAGUGUAAAGGCAAAAGAGAGCUUGAUUGCAAGACAUACAGGUCGAGCAAGGACGAAAGUCGGACUUAGUGAUCCGGUGGUUCCGCAUGGAAGGGCCAUCGCUCAACGGAUAAAAGCUACCCUGGGGAUAACAGGCUGAUCUCCCCCAAGAGUCCACAUCGACGGGGAGGUUUGGCACCUCGAUGUCGGCUCAUCACAUCCUGGGGCUGUAGUAGGUCCCAAGGGUUGGGCUGUUCGCCCAUUAAAGUGGUACGCGAGCUGGGUUCAGAACGUCGUGAGACAGUUCGGUCCCUAUCCGUCGCAGGCGUAGGAAAUUUGAGGAGACCUGUCCUUAGUACGAGAGGACCGGGAUGGACGUACCGCUGGUGUACCAGUUGUUCUGCCAAGGGCAUGGCUGGGUAGCUAAGUACGGAAAGGAUAAGCGCUGAAAGCAUCUAAGCGCGAAGCCCACUUCAAGAUAAGAUUUCCCACCGCAAGGUUAAGAUCCCAGGAAGACUACCUGGUUGAUAGGUCAGAGGUGUGAGUGCAGUAAUGUAUUUAGCUUACUGAUACUAAUAGAUCGAGGACUUGACU